This 599-nucleotide ribosomal RNA is filed under the name uncultured archaeon. RNAcentral describes it as "bacterial SSU rRNA". It matches the Rfam family "Archaeal small subunit ribosomal RNA", at positions 582 to 1183 of the family's 1478-position model. The record is from RNAcentral.
UACUGCAGGGCUAGGGAGUGGGAGAGGUAGACGGUACUCGGGAGGAAGUGGUAAAAUGCUUUGAUCUCUCGAUGACCACCUGUGGCGAAGGCGGUCUACCAGAACACGUCCGACGGUGAGGGAUGAAAGCUGGGGGAGCAAACCGGAUUAGAUACCCGGGUAGUCCCAGCUGUAAACUAUGCAAACUCGGUGAUGCACUGGCUUGUGGCCAGUGCAGUGUUGCAGGGAAGCCGUUAAGUUUGCCGCCUGGGAAGUACGUACGCAAGUAUGAAACUUAAAGGAAUUGGCGGGGGGGCACCACAAGGGGUGAAGCCUGCGGUUCAAUUGGAGUCAACGCCAGAAAUCUUACCCGGAGAGACAGCAGAAUGAAGGUCAAGCUGAAGACUUUACCAGACAAGCUGAGAGGUGGUGCAUGGCCGCCGCCAGCUCGUGCCGUGAGAUGUCCUGUUAAGUCAGGUAACGAGCGAGAUCCCUGCCUCUAGUUGCCACCAUUACUCUCAGGAGUAGUGGGGCGAAUUAGCGGGACCGCCGCAGUUAAUGCGGAGGAAGGAAGGGGCCACGACAGGUCAGUAUGCCCCGAAUCGUCGACCUGCAGGCAU